CCUACGGGAGGCAGCAGUAGGGAAUCUUCGGCAAUGGACGGAAGUCUGACCGAGCAACGCCGCGUGAGUGAAGAAGGUUUUCGGAUCGUAAAGCUCUGUUGUAAGAGAAGAACGAGUGUGAGAGUGGAAAGUUCACACUGUGACGGUAUCUUACCAGAAAGGGACGGCUAACUACGUGCCAGCAGCCGCGGUAAUACGUAGGUCCCGAGCGUUGUCCGGAUUUAUUGGGCGUAAAGCGAGCGCAGGCGGUUAGAUAAGUCUGAAGUUAAAGGCUAUGGCUUAACCAUAGUAGGCUUUGGAAACUGUUUAACUUGAGUGCAAGAGGGGAGAGUGGAAUUCCAUGUGUAGCGGUGAAAUGCGUAGAUAUAUGGAGGAACACCGGUGGCGAAAGCGGCUCUCUGGCUUGUAACUGACGCUGAGGCUCGAAAGCGUGGGGAGCAAACAGGAUUAGAUACCCGAGUAGUC
This 465-nucleotide ribosomal RNA is filed under the name uncultured Streptococcus sp. RNAcentral describes it as "bacterial SSU rRNA". It matches the Rfam family "Bacterial small subunit ribosomal RNA", at positions 338 to 795 of the family's 1533-position model. The record is from RNAcentral. Lineage: Bacteria; Bacillati; Bacillota; Bacilli; Lactobacillales; Streptococcaceae.